This is a long non-coding RNA of Alnus glutinosa, 679 nucleotides long. RefSeq lists it as uncharacterized. The transcript has 2 exons. The record is from RefSeq and is a predicted model, not a curated record. Lineage: Eukaryota; Viridiplantae; Streptophyta; Magnoliopsida; Fagales; Betulaceae.
GUUCAAUGCUCACCAUCUCCAUCAUAUACAGACAGAGAGAGAAUAUAAGGUUUAAUCAUGAAGACAGUACUUGCUCUAGUUGCCAUCGGACUGCUCCUCUGUUUCCAAGGUGAUGCCAAAAGGUUUCUCUUGGAGGAGGUGACCAAAGGAAAAGCUGGAGUUGACAGUUCUCCUGCUGAUGUUAAGCCAACUGUUAAUGGCAGUCCAUUAACAGGUUCAGCCCCAACAGUUGUAGCAAAUGCCAAGAACGAUAACAACAGUGCUGAAGAUGAUAAGAAUGAGAGUUAUGGAAACUAUGGAAAUCCUUCUGGAUCAUCAACUGAGACUCACCGUAUUUAUACAACUGAUUGCCAACCUGGAAAAAAAUGUCCUUAAGCUUUCUAUGAAGAAGAUGGCAUGAAUUAGUAUGCAUGUAAACUUAGGUAAAAAUAAAGAUGCACGGUGCAUGUGGACAUGCAGUAUGUGUUGUUACGUCUUUGAUGUUCUCUUCCACAAUAUUUAGCAAAUAAGUAAAUCAUGUUUAAUAGUUUUUCAUGGUUGUACACUGCCUGGGUGCCUCCAGGUCCACUACCUUUGUGGUAAUUGUCAGAUAGGAACAAAAACCAUGGCUAGUGCGGUUUGGUGUGCUGUAUAUAUAUAUAUGUAUAACUUGAAGGGCAUAUACAUAUAUUUGCUAUCA